UGGUUCAACCCUUUGCCAAGAAAGGGGAUGACGUUACCUGCUGGCUUAGCUUUUUCAUUCAUAUGUUUUGUAAAUUCAGCUAAGUCGUAGAAUAUGAGGUUUUGGUGUCCACAGAGAACCUCACCCAUACCAGUUUCUCAUGUGUACUAGCACUGCUGAGAAUCAGUUGAAGUCAAAAGGAAAUAUAAAGCCUCGUCUUUAUUAUGUCUGACUAAAGCUACGUAGCUGUAUAAUUGCUUGCUUAUGUUUGGAUGAGUCUUCUUUGGGUGUGGGUUGAGG
RNAcentral lists this unclassified non-coding RNA (279 nucleotides) under Hevea brasiliensis (rubber tree). Lineage: Eukaryota; Viridiplantae; Streptophyta; Magnoliopsida; Malpighiales; Euphorbiaceae. The record is from RNAcentral.